UACGUAGGGUGCGAGCGUUAAUCGGAAUUACUGGGCGUAAAGCGUGCGCAGGCGGUUUUGUAAGCCAGAUGUGAAAGCCCCGGGCUUAACCUGGGAAUGGCAUUUGGGACUGCAAGGCUUGAGUGCGGCAGAGGAGACUGGAAUUCCUGGUGUAGCAGUGAAAUGCGUAGAUAUCAGGAGGAACACCAAUGGCGAAAGCAGCUUUCUGGGACGGUACUGACGCUGAGACGCGAAAGCGUGGGGAGCGAACAGG
Molecule: ribosomal RNA, 253 nt
Filed under: uncultured bacterium
Lineage: Bacteria
Description: partial 16S ribosomal RNA
Rfam family: Bacterial small subunit ribosomal RNA
Source: RNAcentral